RNAcentral lists this transfer-messenger RNA (376 nucleotides) under Candidatus Margulisbacteria bacterium GWD2_39_127. It matches the Rfam family "transfer-messenger RNA". From Rfam's summary of the family: Bacterial tmRNA, also known as 10Sa RNA or SsrA, is named for its dual tRNA and mRNA-like properties. Its role is to liberate the mRNA from a stalled ribosome. To accomplish this part of the tmRNA is used as a reading frame that ends in a translation stop signal. The record is from RNAcentral. RNAcentral also lists the same sequence under 4 other names. Lineage: Bacteria; Bacillati; Candidatus Margulisiibacteriota.
GGGGGUGCACAGGUUUCGACGGGAAGUGGCGAAGUAAUAGUCGCGAGUCGAGGAGCUGCCCGGCCUCGUAAAAAGGCAGAAGAAAACAAACGCAAACAACUUUAAAAACGCGUUCACCGCAGCUCCGGCUGCACUUGUUGCUUAAUUAAAUAGGCAGCGCCGUCAGGUAGAAUGUGCUGGUGGUUCUAACUGACGUCAUUUAACCAGAUCGUUUUCUGUUGACGUUUGUCCGGCAGAAAGUUAAACAUAGACAGACUUUCUUAGUAUUAUCCUGUCCAUAGGAGAAUAAUAAGAGAAAUUAAAGUAUGGACUACACUCGUAGUGGCUUUUAUUGAGGACUUUUCGGACAGCGGUUCGAUUCCGCUCACCUCCACCA